This 281-nucleotide ribosomal RNA is filed under the name Vibrio cholerae. RNAcentral's name for it is "partial 23S ribosomal RNA". It matches the Rfam family "Bacterial large subunit ribosomal RNA", at positions 944 to 1231 of the family's 2925-position model. The record is from RNAcentral. Lineage: Bacteria; Pseudomonadati; Pseudomonadota; Gammaproteobacteria; Vibrionales; Vibrionaceae.
CUCUUCCGAUCCCGAAUUCCAUAUAUCUAUACGCGGGAGUCAGACUGCGAGUGAUAAGAUCCGUAGUCGAAAGGGAAACAGCCCAGAUCACCAGUUAAGGUCCCCAAAUCUAUGCUAAGUGGAAAAGGAUGUGGAGUUGCGUAGACAACUAGGACGUUGGCUUAGAAGCAGCCAUCAUUCAAAGAGUGCGUAAUAGCUCACUAGUCGAGUGGCGCUGCGCCGAAAAUUUACCGGGGCUAAGCAUAGUACCGAAACUGUGGAUGUGCGUAAGCACGUGGUAG